This 253-nucleotide ribosomal RNA is filed under the name uncultured bacterium. RNAcentral's name for it is "partial 16S ribosomal RNA". It matches the Rfam family "Bacterial small subunit ribosomal RNA", at positions 524 to 776 of the family's 1533-position model. The record is from RNAcentral.
UACGGGGGGGGCAAGCGUUGUUCGGAAUUACUGGGCGUAAAGGGCUCGUAGGCGGCCAACUAAGUCAGACGUGAAAUCCCUCGGCUUAACCGGGGAACUGCAUCUGAUACUGGAUGGCUUGAGUUCGGGAGAGGGAUGCGGAAUUCCAGGUGUAGCGGUGAAAUGCGUAGAUAUCUGGAGGAACACCGGUGGCGAAGGCGGAUCUCUGGGCCAUUACUGACGCUGAGGAGCGAAAGCGUGGGGAGCGAACAGG